Molecule: ribosomal RNA, 460 nt
Filed under: uncultured bacterium
Lineage: Bacteria
Description: partial 16S ribosomal RNA
Rfam family: Bacterial small subunit ribosomal RNA
Source: RNAcentral
CCUACGGGUGGCAGCAGUGAGGAAUAUUGGUCAAUGGGCGCAAGCCUGAACCAGCCAAGUCGCGUGAGGGAUGACGGUCCUAUGGAUUGUAAACCUCUUUUGUCGGGGAGCAAGGCCCGCCACGUGUGGCGGGAAGGAGAGUACCCGAAGAAAAAGCAUCGGCUAACUCCGUGCCAGCAGCCGCGGUAAUACGGAGGAUGCGAGCGUUAUCCGGAUUUAUUGGGUUUAAAGGGUGCGUAGGCGGGCUGUUAAGUCAGCGGUCAAAUGUCGGGGCUCAACCCCGGCCUGCCGUUGAAACUGGCGGCCUCGAGUGGGCGAGAAGCAUGCGGAAUGCGUGGUGUAGCGGUGAAAUGCAUAGAUAUCACGCAGAACUCCGAUUGCGAAGGCAGCAUACCGGCGCCCGACUGACGCUGAGGCACGAAAGCGUGGGUAUCGAACAGGAUUAGAUACCCUGGUAGUC